UACGUAGGAUGCAAGCGUUGUUCGGAAUUACUGGGCGUAAAGAGUACGUAGGCGGUUUAAUAAGUCUGAAAUUAAAGACUGGGGCUCAACCUCAGGGAUGUAUCGGAAACUGUUAGACUAGAGGACAAUAGAGGAAGUCGGAAUUCUCAGUGUAGCGGUGAAAUGCGUAGAUAUUGGGAAGAACACCAGUGGCGAAAGCGGACUUCUGGGUUGUUACUGACGCUGAGGUACGAAAGCGUGGGGAGCAAACGGGAUUAGAUACCCCGGUAGUCCACGCGGUAAACGAUGGAUACUAGAUGUAGCCGGUCUCGACCCCGGCUGUGUCGUAGCUAACGCAAUAAGUAUCCCGCCUGGGGAGUAUGGCCGCAAGGUUGAA
This 376-nucleotide ribosomal RNA is filed under the name uncultured bacterium. Its description in RNAcentral is "bacterial SSU rRNA". It matches the Rfam family "Bacterial small subunit ribosomal RNA", at positions 524 to 898 of the family's 1533-position model. The record is from RNAcentral.